This 460-nucleotide ribosomal RNA is filed under the name uncultured bacterium. RNAcentral's name for it is "partial 16S ribosomal RNA". It matches the Rfam family "Bacterial small subunit ribosomal RNA", at positions 338 to 795 of the family's 1533-position model. The record is from RNAcentral.
CCUACGGGAGGCAGCAGUGAGGAAUAUUGGUCAAUGGACGAGAGUCUGAACCAGCCAAGUCGCGUGAGGGAAGACUGCCCUAUGGGUUGUAAACUUCUUUUAUAAAGGAGUAAAACGAGGCACGUGUGCCUGUUUGCAUAGACUGUAUUGAUAAGGAACGGCUAACCACGGUCCAGCAGCCGCGGGAAUACGGAGGGUUGGAGCGUUAUCCGGGUUUAUUGGGUUUGAAGGGAGCGUAGGGGGGUUGGUAAGUUCGGUGUGAAAGUUUAGGGCUCAAACGUAGCAGUGCAGUUGAUACUGGCAGUCUUGAGUACAGAAGAGGUAGGCGGAAUGCGUGGUGUAGCGGUGAAAUGCGUAGAUAUCACGAAGAACACCGAUUGCGAAGGCAGCUUACUGGUCUGUGACUGACGCUGAGGCUCGAAAGCGUGGGUAUCAAACAGGAUUAGAUACCCCGGUAGUC